Molecule: ribosomal RNA, 407 nt
Filed under: Verrucomicrobiota bacterium
Lineage: Bacteria; Pseudomonadati; Verrucomicrobiota
Description: Verrucomicrobia bacterium partial 16S ribosomal RNA
Rfam family: Bacterial small subunit ribosomal RNA
Source: RNAcentral
UGGGGAAUAUUGGACAAUGGAGGAAACUCUGAUCCAGCAAUUCUGUGUGUGUGAAGAAGGUUUUAGGACUGUAAAACACUUUUAGUAGGGAAGAAAAAAAUGACGGUACCUACAGAAGAAGCAACGGCUAAAUACGUGCCAGCAGCCGCGGUAAUACGGAAGGUCCAGGCGUUAUCCGGAUUUAUUGGGUUUAAAGGGAGUGUAGGCGGUUGGUUAAGCGUGUUGUGAAAUGUAGAUGCUCAACAUCUGACUUGCAGCGCGAACUGGCUGACUUGAGUACACACAACGUAGGCGGAAUUCAUGGUGUAGCGGUGAAAUGCUUAGAUAUCAUGAAGAACUCCGAUUGCGAAGGCAGCUUACGGGAGUGUUACUGACGCUUAAGCUCGAAGGUGCGGGUAUCGAACAGG